This 575-nucleotide long non-coding RNA is filed under the name Ananas comosus (pineapple). RNAcentral's name for it is "long non-coding RNA (ACOM_LNC029471)". The record is from RNAcentral. Lineage: Eukaryota; Viridiplantae; Streptophyta; Magnoliopsida; Poales; Bromeliaceae.
UGUAUAUAUAUAUAUAUAUAUAUAUAUAUAUAUAUAUAUAUAUAGAGAGAGAGAGAGAGAGAGAGAGAGAGAGAGAGAGAGUUGAGCUGGAAUACUAUCGGUAGCAAACGGGCUCCGUUGCCACCCAUUUGUUUUCGAUGAUGGAGCCUCCAAAUCAACGAUCGGUACCGUUGAAAAUGACCUACACCACUUGAAGUAUCUAGAAAUCAAAUUUCAUGCUCUUCCGAUAUUGUUCUCUUGUUCAUCAAGUGGGCAUAAAAAUGAACGGCUGAAAAUGAAUAUCCUCUAAAAAGUGAUGAUAGAAUAUUUUGUAAUCAAGAUUGAGAGUAUAGAUCCCGUUCUAAAUAGUUUAAAGAAUUUUCUAACCAAAAUUCAUUUGAUUUGGAUAGCUUUACACCGUUAAACGAGAAAACGUCUUAUAUCGACCAUUAAAAUUACAAAUUUUGAUACCUUUUGAUUAUUAGGUCAAUGAUGCCGAAAAGAUUUGAAAUUUGAUUUCUAGAUACUUCAAGUGAUAUAGAUCAUGUUCAACGGUGUCGAUCGUCGAUUUGAAGGUUCCAUCAUUGAAAAUAAAU